GAGAGAGACUUCCUGCUCUACCUUGACGACCUGUUAUGGAUACGGUGGACAACUUACGUCCAGCCCAUGGUACUAGGGUACCGACCACGGAUAACUCAGAAUCUCGUCUACCGCCAGCUCCUGCUUCCAAACCCUAGAUUUAUUAAUACGACAUGGACCCACCUGAGCAACGCAGGGUACGGCCCACCUACUCCUGGUAUCCAGGAUCCUCUGAAAAAUUCUCUGGUAAUGAUAAACCAGUAGUCCCAUUGGCAAAAGGCAAGCGACUAUGAUGAUCGGAAUAGUGAAGCAAAGUGAUAUGUUGACCACGUCAUUUUUUGGAAAUACCAAAGUACAAAUGGUACCGUCAGCCACUUCCUGUCGUGUCAGAACAAAAAAGAGACAUCAACAGCAACUAAGACAUGCAUUUUUAUCUAAAAUGACGUAACACAGCUCAGAGAGUUCGCUUGAAAAAUGACUUACCCUGGGUCGAAACCAAAAGGCAGCAGGAAGAAACAAGGAGGCUGCUAUCGCCCACGUUAUGAGACUAGCCGCAAGAACUCGGGGUCCUGUUAAGGCGCUUCUAUAUGGAGCGAUCGCCAGACAUCUGUGUCUGUCCAUAGAAAUCAAUGUCAACGUCCAAAGUAGUACAAAUCCACAGACAAACUGGAAAAGUACAAGGUUACAUUCACGUAAAUUUAUUUUCCUAACGACUUAUUGUACUGAUUCAACGGUUAGCAUUGAUUUUGGUCUGACAUUAUGUAAUUUUAAAUAGCUGUUAUUCGAGGAAAAAAUGCAGGCGAAAUUCAAGCAAGAGUACGACGCAUAAUUAGUAAAAUGCUUACUGGACAAAAGGUAAAUGAACGUCUGUCACUCAUUAAGUCAGAUACGCAAAGAAAAUGCUGAAUAACGUAACAAGGAAUGAGUGACAUUUCAGCAAAAUAUUUUAAUACGUACCCGAAUAAUGUUUUUGCUGUAUUGUCAGUGGCUAAUAAA
Cephus cinctus (wheat stem sawfly) is the source of this 975-nucleotide long non-coding RNA. RefSeq lists it as uncharacterized. Lineage: Eukaryota; Metazoa; Arthropoda; Insecta; Hymenoptera; Cephidae. The record is from RefSeq and is a predicted model, not a curated record. The transcript is spliced from 3 exons.